UGAGACCUCUUGAUGGCCGCGGCCGUGAUCUUCAUUGGGAUCGGCUGAGGAACUUCCGGGCUCCAUAGAGCACGAUGGCGGAUAACGUCCGCCCAGGGUGACCUGAGAGAUAGCGCAACAGAGAACAGACCGCCCGUCCUCGACGGGUAAGGGUGAAACGGCGGUGUAAGAGACCACCGGGCCUCUGGUAACAGUAGGUCGCAUGGCAAGCCUCAUCGGGAGCAAGGCCAAGCAGAUGGCGGUAAGGGCUGCUCGCCCGUGUCAUCGGGUAGGCUGCUAGAGCCUGGCGGUAACGUCAGGUCGAGAUGGAUGGCCAUCCGUGNNNNNNNNNNAUCCGUGCCGUGCGCUCGCGCACGGCACGACAGAACCCGGGGUAUAAGAGGUCUCAUUUU
This 392-nucleotide RNase P RNA is filed under the name Bifidobacterium longum. Its description in RNAcentral is "RNase P RNA component class A". It matches the Rfam family "Bacterial RNase P class A". From Rfam's summary of the family: Ribonuclease P (RNase P) is a ubiquitous endoribonuclease, found in archaea, bacteria and eukarya as well as chloroplasts and mitochondria. Its best characterised activity is the generation of mature 5'-ends of tRNAs by cleaving the 5'-leader elements of precursor-tRNAs. Lineage: Bacteria; Bacillati; Actinomycetota; Actinomycetes; Bifidobacteriales; Bifidobacteriaceae. The record is from RNAcentral.